Molecule: ribosomal RNA, 496 nt
Filed under: uncultured bacterium
Lineage: Bacteria
Description: partial 16S ribosomal RNA
Rfam family: Bacterial small subunit ribosomal RNA
Source: RNAcentral
AUGAACGCUGGCGGCGUGCCUAAUACAUGCAAGUCGAGCGAACAGACGAGGAGCUUGCUCCUCUGACGUUAGCGGCGGACGGGUGAGUAACACGUGGAUAACCUACCUAUAAGACUGGGAUAACUUCGGGAAACCGGAGCUAAUACCGGAUAAUAUAUUGAACCGCAUGGUUCAAUAGUGAAAGACGGUUUUGCUGUCACUUAUAGAUGGAUCCGCGCCGCAUUAGCUAGUUGGUAAGGUAACGGCUUACCAAGGCAACGAUGCGUAGCCGACCUGAGAGGGUGAUCGGCCACACUGGAACUGAGACACGGUCCAGACUCCUACGGGAGGCAGCAGUAGGGAAUCUUCCGCAAAGGGCGAAAGCCUGACGGAGUAACGCCGCGUGAGUGAUGAAGGUCUUCGGAUCGUAAAACUCUGUUAUUAGGGAAGAACAAAUGUGUAAGUAACUAUGCACGUCUUGACGGUACCUAAUCAGAAAGCCACGGCUAACUACGUG